This 253-nucleotide ribosomal RNA is filed under the name uncultured bacterium. RNAcentral describes it as "partial 16S ribosomal RNA". It matches the Rfam family "Bacterial small subunit ribosomal RNA", at positions 524 to 776 of the family's 1533-position model. The record is from RNAcentral.
UACGUAGGGUGCAAGCGUUACUCGGAAUUACUGGGCGUAAAGCGUGCGUAGGCGGCUAUGUAAGACAGAUGUGAAAUCCCUGGGCUCAACCUAGGAACUGCAUUUGUGACUGCAUAGCUAGAGUGUGGUAGAGGGAGAUGGAAUUCCGCAUGUAGCAGUGAAAUGCGUAGAUAUGCGGAGGAACACCGAUGGCGAAGGCAGUCCCCUGGGCCUGCACUGACGCUCAUGCACGAAAGCGUGGGGAGCAAACAGG